Non-coding RNA from Cinara cedri, 392 nucleotides. The record is from the annotation of a GenBank genome assembly. NCBI's taxonomy places the organism in Eukaryota, Metazoa, Arthropoda, Insecta, Hemiptera, Aphididae.
UCAGAAAAUAAAUAGUAAUCGAUAUGGUAUAUUAUAUGCAUAGACGCACAGUUAAAAUAUCACGUCCGCGCUCGGUAAAAAUCGUGUAACACGAAAGGCUAGGGCUUGAGACCUGCGUAUGGCUAACAUGACUCGGCUGUUUCUUUUGGCAACCGCAGUAGGUUCAGUAGAAAGAUAUAAGGUUAUAUGUUAUAUAGAAUCUAAAUCCAAAGUUUGAUUGUACAUAUUUUCGCAUAUUUUAAUAUUUUUUCUCAUUAGCAGAAUGCAGCUUUUAAGUGCUAUAACAGGCCAUUUAUUAAACGUGUAAAGCAUAUUUUAGUGUACAUUUGGUUGUUUUUUAAAACACAUUUUUAUAACUUUUAGAGCUAGAAGUCUCGAAGCCUACUAAUAAC